CCAGGAUUCUCCUAGUAACGGCGAGUGAACGGAGAUUAGCCCAUCACCGAAGCCUGCGUGUGUUUGCAUGCUAGGCAAUGUGGUGUUUAAGCUUGUACCUGGGAUCGUGUGCCUACCCGAAGUCUAAAUCCGAUUGUGGCUUUGGAUUCAUUCCAUAGCGGGUGAAAGUCCCGUGCGGGUAGGACUAUUGCAAUCUACACGAUCCUCAGAUGUGCAUGCUUUCGAGUCGGAUUGCUUGAGAAUGCAGUCCAAAGUGGGUGGUAAACUCCAUCCAAGGCUAAAUACUGGCACGAGUCCGAUAGUAGACAAGUACCGUGAGGGAAAGUUGAAAAGUACUCUGAAGAGAA
This 347-nucleotide ribosomal RNA is filed under the name Cichlidogyrus sclerosus. RNAcentral describes it as "partial large subunit ribosomal RNA". It matches the Rfam family "Eukaryotic large subunit ribosomal RNA", at positions 69 to 385 of the family's 3401-position model. Lineage: Eukaryota; Metazoa; Platyhelminthes; Monogenea; Dactylogyridea; Ancyrocephalidae. The record is from RNAcentral.